Molecule: ribosomal RNA, 492 nt
Filed under: uncultured bacterium
Lineage: Bacteria
Description: partial 16S ribosomal RNA
Rfam family: Bacterial small subunit ribosomal RNA
Source: RNAcentral
AGUGAACGCUGGCGGUAGGCCUAACACAUGCAAGUCGAACGGCAGCACAGUAAGAGCUUGCUCUUACGGGUGGCGAGUGGCGGACGGGUGAGGAAUACAUCGGAAUCUACUUUUUCGUGGGGGAUAACGUAGGGAAACUUACGCUAAUACCGCAUACGACCUACGGGUGAAAGCAGGGGAUCUUCGGACCUUGCGCGAUUGAAUGAGCCGAUGUCGGAUUAGCUAGUUGGCGGGGUAAAGGCCCACCAAGGCGACGAUCCGUAGCUGGUCUGAGAGGAUGAUCAGCCAAACUGGAAAUGAGACACGGUCCAGACUCCUACGGGAGGCAGGAGUGGGGAAUAUUGGACAAUGGGCGCAAGCCUGAUCCAGCCAUACCGCGUGGGUGAAGAAGGCCUUCGGGUUGUAAAGCCCUUUUGUUGGGAAAGAAAAGCAGCAGGUUAAUACCCCGCUGUUCUGACGGUACCCAAAGAAUAAGCACCGGCUAACUUCGUG